Molecule: long non-coding RNA, 3747 nt
Organism: Musa acuminata AAA Group (dessert banana)
Lineage: Eukaryota; Viridiplantae; Streptophyta; Magnoliopsida; Zingiberales; Musaceae
Exons: 2
Source: RefSeq, a predicted model, not a curated record
UAGAUCCAGGAUGAGCGCGAGAAUUCCGAGUUCCUUCUCCUCCAGGGACAGGCUGGGCUUGUUCCGUACGCACCCGUUCCACAUCUUUGGUUUCUUGGUGCUACGGUUAGGGUUUCGCUUGAUUGGUUUGAGAAAAAGAUUUUUCCCCUUCCCGUAUUUGGUUUCUUGGUGUUACGAUUAGGGGUUUCCUUGAUUUGUUGAUGAAAAGAGAUCGUUUCUUCGAUUCUUGGAUUCUUGUUUUCCGAUCUUGUAUUAUUGGUUGGGUUUUGGAUCGGAUUAGGAGACAGAAAAGGUUGGAUUUCCUCUAGGAGUCAGGGUUGACGGUGGGGAAGGGGAGCUCCGAUGGUUCCAAGGCGCUUCAAGAACUACCAGCGGUGGCUUCCAGUACCUCAGCAUCCGAGGCUAGUUCCUCCAAGGUACAAUUCUUUUUGGGUUUAUUAUGUUAUUCAUUUUUGACAUCAGAUAUAUUGAUAGUUAGUAUAAAAAGGAUGGGGUAUCACAUGUUGUUUGAUGCUGCUAGGCAUCAACUGAACCUUAAUUUUUCAACAUGGAUUUAUUGUGUACUUCACUAAUAACUGUCUAGACGAAUUUGACAAAGAACUAUUACAACUUCGAAUAAUAUACACGAGCAUAUGGAAUCUUGACCACGCCCCUUGUUUUAUUAUUCCUUUGACUAUGACCAGUCAAUGAGUUUAACUCUUUUCUUGCCUGUUAUAAUUUAUGAAGCCGGAAAACCCUUUCAUGUUUUCUCAGUGUAUCGAUAGUUCCAAUUGGCCAGUUCCUAAUAAAGAAAGUCUUGAAGUGCGUGCAUGUCAUAUGAAGCUUGUUAUAUCACAGCUGGCUAAACCUAAUAACAGUUACAUAAAAAGUAGCUUUAUUAAUCAUGCUGGUUCAUCUUACAUGAGGACAUGAUAUUAUUCUGACAUGCUGGUACACCUGAACUUUGCAACUAGUUGAUAGGUCUCACAUGGUUUAAUCUUUGAGGGUUUCAGAUGAUAAGUUGCUCAAGAUAUAUCACUUAAGAUUUAUAUGGAAGAGAUCUCUCUUUGGCGACAGUAAUCUCCAAUUAUAUUGGAUAAGAAUGAGCAACUUUGUUGCGUUCCAUGGAAUCUGUUUCUGUGUUAAAUUUGGUCAGUGGCUAGCCAUAUAUUUCUAUUUUGGACCAUCAAUUGACAUUGAAUAUACUGUUGUUUUGUCUACAGAAUAUAUCGGUCAUACAUGUAUGUAUCUUUGUAAUUAUUAGUAAUAGUUUAUUUUAGAAAAUCUUUACACUCUAGGAGAUAUGGAAUAUUAAAUGCAACACCUGCAUUAAUUUAACUGUGACUGGAAUUCUUUAUUUGAUGACAAUGACCUAGGACUAUCUUGAUAAGAAUGAGGUUGCCUUAGGGACUUCAUGUGCAAACAAGGGACUUAUUAUAUGGAAGGAAUUUUCUUGUCUACUUUGACAUAAAGUGUUUUUAAGUAUGAAAGAGAAGUUCAGGGCAUAAUCUAUGAGCUGAACUCUGGGAUUUUUGCUCUAUAAUUAGUGAGCUACACUAAAGGACCCUUUUCAUGUUGGUUAUGCCAGAAGAUUUUUCAAAAUCUCCCACUUCUGCCAUCAUGAAACCUAAUAAGUAUAUGUGAAUAUACAACGAAUACAUAUAUGAAUUUAUUAUGAGUAGAGAAAGUUGGCUUAUCGUGGCUGGUACAUAUCAUAAGUACACUCUGGAGGAAAAGAAGAAAAGAGAAGGCAUUCAUUUUGCAGAGAUGUAUUGGACUUGUUACUUCAUCAAAUAGUUGAAUAAUGAAGAUUUUCACCCUGUGUUAUAUAGUCUUUAGCAUGACAUUUCAUGUAUCAUCUUAAGCUCCAACUCCUAUAUGCGACUGAAGUAAUAUGCUCCUUUUUUGUGGAUCCUUGGACUGGCAUGUUUUUUAGAUGUCUGAAUUGUCCCAGGGUUUAAGUGUUCUAAGUUUUUCUCAAUUAUAUAGAGAGCUAAAUUGUAAGCCUAUACUCCUCUGGAUGUGCGCAAAGAUCAUGUCCGAAAUAAAAUGGCCACGACAGAAACUCAGAAACUAUUAUUCUUCCGUGAUUUUCAUAAAUAUCAGAAGUUUCUUGUUGGCAUGCUUGAAAGGUGAGAAAAAUUAUAAAAUUCUAAACAUACACUUAGAGAAUAGCAUCAGUAUACUAUUUCUUCCUCUUAAACUUGAGAACCAUAACUAUGCCUACAUUGCUCUAUCUUCUUCUCUCUGAAUCUUUGUUCUUCCUCUUUCUUCUUUCUCCAUUUUCUCUACUUCUAUCUUUGAAAUCUCAACCUGUAAACCCUGUCAUUUUCAACAUGCACCAAGAACAGAUAUGUAGUGCCAUGAAUAUAUAGUUCUCAUCAUGGGGAAAGAGAAGUCUGGAAGCGCCUUCUUUACUUCAUUCCAUGAGUAUACAGUCCAUUGAUGUGGCCAAACGAGUAUGGUUUUGGAGAAAUGAAGCUUGACACUUGAUAUACUUUAAGAAAUACUUCUCAGUAUUGAUGUAUUCUGAGAAAAAUGUCAGGUCAAUUGGACAACGUUUCUAGGGGGCUACUGCACUUCAGAAUUUUAGAUGGAUUGGGUAACCCUUUAAAACUGCUUGGGUGAUGUUACCUCUUGCAGAACUGAUGAAUGGAUCACUCACAAGCCGGUGAGAACCCAAAACACCCCUGAAAAAGUUUGAGUUGUUCAAUCCAGCUAACAUAACAGUUUCUUUUCCAUGGUGAUGAAAGAUGAGCUGUAGGACAAUAUUUCAUGGGAAAGUAGUAGCCAUUAGUCUCAUAUAGACUCUACAUUUGAGAUCUACAGAUGACAUUGAAGUGCCGGUUGGAACACAGCAAGGUUUGGGCAAAUAUCUAACAGGAAUCCAAUGAUAACUGGAUCAUCAGCAACACCACUCAUCUAGAGUUCAUUCACGUCCAAAGCACAUUGGACGUGAUUCUGAGUUCAGCAUUGAAGACCAAAAGAACAGGGGAAACCAACAGGCAGAAUAUAACCGUCAUCAAGGUGAGCCAAAGACAACGGAGGAAGAGAGCAGCCCAGAAGGUUGAAACAAUUGAAGAGGGCAGGAGAGGCUCUGUUUUUGGCUGUCCCAGCUCUGCAGAGAUGGAGGUAGCGGAGAUGGAGAUGAAGGGGGGAGUAAAAGGGAUGAAGUGAAAAAAACGAUAAAAUUGAAAAUAAAGGAGAAGGCAGGAAAUUCAUAAAUGAUGAACUACGACAAGCAAGAAAGGGUGAACGACAUCACCUCUAGGUGAGGUAGGGGAAGAAAGGUUAUUUAUGAAAACACAAAAACAUGAAACAUUUGACAAAAAAUAAAAAUAAAAAAAACAAAAAUCACCCAAUUUUAUUUGUUAAUGCAGAUACAAACUUAUUGAUCUCCAUUCAUUGCCGACGCAUAUAUAAAUUAUUCUGUAUGUGGUACCAUGGUUUGUCCAACUUGAAACCACAAUUUGUUGAGAGCUCUGGUUAAAAAGCUCAAUCAAAUUCCUUCUUCAGGUGUCACCUUUGACAUGUUUCGCUCGUGGGAUGCCCAACCUCUUUACAAAUCAUCGACUAUAAUAAGAAAAGUUCCUUCAAGAAAAGUCCUCUUACCAAGUGAAGACUUCCCCACCGGAUCUCAUCUUGCCUUCCAAAUCAGAAGUUCUAGUCAAAUCAUCUGAGCAGUUUCAUAGAGGAAACUCUUUCUGAAGAAUAUCAAGGUUUCGCGAGUCACAAGCUUCAAACAUGUCAUUCCGAGAUGCACAGCUG